GGUUAAGUUAGAAAGGGCGCACGGUGGAUGCCUUGGCACUAGGAGCCGAUGAAGGACGGGACGAACACCGAUAUGCUUCGGGGAGCUGUAAGCAAGCUUUGAUCCGGAGAUUUCCGAAUGGGGAAACCCACCACUCGUAAUGGAGUGGUAUCCAUAUCUGAAUACAUAGGAUAUGAGAAGGCAGACCCGGGGAACUGAAACAUCUAAGUACCCGGAGGAAGAGAAAGCAAAUGCGAUUCCCUGAGUAGCGGCGAGCGAAACGGGACCAGCCCAAAACCAAGAGGCUUGCCUCUUGGGGGUUGUAGGACACUCUGUACGGAGUUACAAAGGAACGAGGUAGAUGAAGAGGUCUGGAAAGGCCCGCCAUAGGAGGUAACAGCCCUGUAGUCAAAACUUCGUUCUCUCCUGAGUGGAUCCUGAGUACGGCGGAACACGUGAAAUUCCGUCGGAAUCCGGGAGGACCAUCUCCCAAGGCUAAAUACUCCCUAGUGACCGAUAGUGAACCAGUACCGUGAGGGAAAGGUGAAAAAGCACCCCGGAAGGGGAGUGAAAGAGAUCCUGAAACCGUGUGCCUACAAGUAGUCAGAGCCCGUUAACGGGUGAUGGCGUGCCUUUUGUAGAAUGAACCGGCGAGUUACGAUCCCGUGCAAGGUUAAGCAGAAGAUGCGGAGCCGCAGCGAAAGCGAGUCUGAAUAGGGCGAAUUGAGUACGUGGUCGUAGACCCGAAACCAGGUGAUCUACCCAUGUCCAGGGUGAAGUUCAGGUAACACUGAAUGGAGGCCCGAACCCACGCACGUUGAAAAGUGCGGGGAUGAGGUGUGGGUAGGGGUGAAAUGCCAAUCGAACCUGGAGAUAGCUGGUUCUCUCCGAAAUAGCUUUAGGGCUAGCCUCAAGGUAAGAGUCUCGGAGGUAGAGCACUGAUUGGACUAGGGGCCCCUACCGGGUUACCGAAUUCAGUCAAACUCCGAAUGCCGAUGACUUAUCCUUGGGAGUCAGACUGCGAGUGAUAAGAUCCGUAGUCGAAAGGGAAACAGCCCAGACCGCCAGCUAAGGUCCCAAAGUAUACGUUAAGUGGAAAAGGAUGUGGAGUUGCUUAGACAACCAGGAUGUUGGCUUAGAAGCAGCCACCAUUUAAAAGAGUGCGUAAUAGCUCACUGGUCGAGUGACUCUGCGCCGAAAAAUGUACCGGGGGCUAAACGUAUCACCGAAGCUGCGGACUGUUCUUCGAACAGUGGUAGGAGAGCGUUCUAAGGGCUGUGAAGCAAGACCGGAAGGACUUGUGGAGCGCUUAGAAGUGAGAAUGCCGGUAUGAGUAGCGAAAGAGGGGUGAGAAUCCCCUCCACCGAAUGCCUAAGGUUUCCUGAGGAAGGCUCGUCCGCUCAGGGUUAGUCGGGACCUAAGCCGAGGCCGAAAGGCGUAGGCGAUGGAUAACAGGUUGAUAUUCCUGUACCACCUCCUCACCAUUUGAGCAAUGGGGGACGCAGGAGGAUAGGGUAAGCGCGGUAUUGGAUAUCCGCGUCCAAGCAGUUAGGCUGGGAAAUAGGCAAAUCCGUUUCCCGUGAAGGCUGAGCUGUGAUGGCGAGCGAAUUAUAGUAGCGAAGUUCCUGAUUCCACACUGCCAAGAAAAGCCUCUAGCGAGGUGAGAGGUGCCCGUACCGCAAAACCGACACAGGUAGGCGAGGAGAGAAUCCUAAGGUGAUCGAGAGAACUCUCGUUAAGGAACUCGGCAAAAAUGACCCCGUAACUUCGGGAGAAGGGGUGCUCUGUUAGGGUGCAAGCCCGAGAGAGCCGCAGUGAAUAGGCCCAGGCGACUGUUUUAGCAAAAAAACACAGGUCUCUGCGAAGCCGUAAGGCGAAGUAUAGGGGCUGACGCCUGCCCGGUGCUGGAAGGUUAAGAGGAGCGCUUAGCGUAAGCGAAGGUGCGAAUUGAAGCCCCAGUAAACGGCGGCCGUAACUAUAACGGUCCUAAGGUAGCGAAAUUCCUUGUCGGGUAAGUUCCGACCCGCACGAAAGGCGCAACGAUCUGGGCACUGUCUCAACGAGAGACUCGGUGAAAUUAUAGUACCUGUGAAGAUGCAGGUUACCCGCGACAGGACGGAAAGACCCCGUGGAGCUUUACUGCAGCCUGAUAUUGAAUGUUGGUACAGCUUGUACAGGAUAGGUAGGAGCCUUGGAAACCGGAGCGCCAGCUUCGGUGGAGGCAUCGGUGGGAUACUACCCUGGCUGUAUUGACCUUCUAACCCGCCGCCCUUAUCGGGCGGGGAGACAGUGUCAGGUGGGCAGUUUGACUGGGGCGGGCGCCUCCUAAAAAGGUAACGGAGGCGCCCAAAGGUUCCCUCAGAAUGGUUGGAAAUCAUUCGCAGAGUGUAAAGGCACAAGGGAGCUUGACUGCGAGACCUACAAGUCGAGCAGGGACGAAAGUCGGGCUUAGUGAUCCGGUGGUUCCGCAUGGAAGGGCCAUCGCUCAACGGAUAAAAGCUACCCCGGGGAUAACAGGCUUAUCUCCCCCAAGAGUCCACAUCGACGGGGAGGUUUGGCACCUCGAUGUCGGCUCAUCGCAUCCUGGGGCUGUAGUCGGUCCCAAGGGUUGGGCUGUUCGCCCAUUAAAGCGGUACGCGAGCUGGGUUCAGAACGUCGUGAGACAGUUCGGUCCCUAUCCGUCGCGGGCGCAGGAAAUUUGAGAGGAGCUGUCCUUAGUACGAGAGGACCGGGAUGGACGCACCGCUGGUGUACCAGUUGUUCUGCCAAGGGCAUCGCUGGGUAGCUAUGUGCGGACGGGAUAAGUGCUGAAAGCAUCUAAGCAUGAAGCCCCCCUCAAGAUGAGAUUUCCCAUUCCGCAAGGAAGUAAGAUCCCUGAAAGAUGAUCAGGUUGAUAGGUCUGAGGUGGAAGUGUGGCGACACAUGGAGCUGACAGAUACUAAUCGAUCGAGGACUUAACCAA
RNAcentral lists this ribosomal RNA (2941 nucleotides) under Bacillus velezensis. Its description in RNAcentral is "23S ribosomal RNA". It matches the Rfam family "Bacterial large subunit ribosomal RNA". The record is from RNAcentral. Lineage: Bacteria; Bacillati; Bacillota; Bacilli; Caryophanales; Bacillaceae.